UCUUCCUCCUACAGCUUCCGUCAGUUACAGCGCGUCAUGACUGUGGCACCACAGUUUGCGUUGGCGGGCGAAUCAACAAUCGAUCGUGGUUUUUAAGCUAAGGGGUUGAGUCUCCCGUGUGUUAUUUUUAGUCAUGCGAUGGACAUCCUUUAAGAUGUAAGUGUGAGUGGGAUGCAGGACAGUAGAGCGGUGAAUUAUGCCGUUGCCGUGAGAGUGGACUGAUCGAGGCACUUUUAAAGGUGGCCACAGACAUGGAGAGUCCUUCUAAGAUCGAGAGGCGACAAGCGUGGGCAAGCAGCCGCCACAAGUUUACCGUAAAAGAUGCAGAACACCGCAGCUCCACAGCAGAACAUCAGUCUCAUUUCUCGCUCCAAGAUGAUGUCUUUGUGGAUGGAUGCUCUGCUGGAAAAAUUGAAACCUGGCUUCAAGGUUGUGGGAAUGAAGCCAGUCCUGCCAAAGGCAGUCACCUAACAAUAGGCCCUUCGAGGACAGGUACCAGCUUUUGAGGAUGAUCUGAGUCUGGGUGCAGAGGCUACUGCAUUACAUUAUCCAUCAGGUGCACCACAGUUUAGAAGCACACCACAACACAAACUCAACCUGGCAUUAUUAAGCAUGGGGCAGAGCGUCGCAUCCAGUGCCUUCUCAACCACUACCAACAGGACUGUUUCCAGCGUGUCUGAAGUCCUCCAAAUGCGUGCUGAAGAUGCAGAAGAGACCCUUUUCCAGCUGGGUUUCGGUUGCGAGGAACCGCAGGUCACUGCCCGUAUCCCAGUCCGC
This is a long non-coding RNA of Carassius auratus (goldfish), 777 nucleotides long. RefSeq lists it as uncharacterized. The record is from RefSeq and is a predicted model, not a curated record. The transcript is spliced from 8 exons. Lineage: Eukaryota; Metazoa; Chordata; Actinopteri; Cypriniformes; Cyprinidae.